UACGUAGGGUGCAAGCGUUGUCCGGAAUUAUUGGGCGUAAAGAGCUCGUAGGCGGUCUGUCGCGUCGAAUGUGAAAACCCGGGGCUCAACCCCGGGCCUGCAUUCGAUACGGGCAGACUAGAGUUCGGUAGGGGAGACUGGAAUUCCUGGUGUAGCGGUGAAAUGCGCAGAUAUCAGGAGGAACACCGGUGGCGAAGGCGGGUCUCUGGGCCGAAACUGACGCUGAGGAGCGAAAGCGUGGGGAGCAAACAGG
This 253-nucleotide ribosomal RNA is filed under the name uncultured bacterium. RNAcentral's name for it is "partial 16S ribosomal RNA". It matches the Rfam family "Bacterial small subunit ribosomal RNA", at positions 524 to 776 of the family's 1533-position model. The record is from RNAcentral.